Anopheles arabiensis is the source of this 975-nucleotide long non-coding RNA. RefSeq lists it as uncharacterized. The transcript has 3 exons. The record is from RefSeq and is a predicted model, not a curated record. NCBI's taxonomy places the organism in Eukaryota, Metazoa, Arthropoda, Insecta, Diptera, Culicidae.
UUGUUUACCACUAGCAAAAAGGUGUUUUGUGGGAUUUGUGCUUUAUUUUAUUACAAUAAUCGUUUGGUUUUUUACUAUCUCUCGGUAUUUUAUUACUUGAAUCUACUAUGACAGUGUGCCCUGUGUGGAAUUGAAACGCGUCGACAGUUGUUUGACCUUCUUCCGUUUUGUUUUCCUUGCGUUAUCGGAAGAAUUAGAUUAUUACCUUCCGUGUACCAUUAAUAUAACAUUGGUUUCGUUAAGCUUGCUGAAAAUUGAACUACUAGCAGACCAAUUCGCCGCCAGACAACGGUCAUGUUGGGCCCCUCGGAAUCCUCGCUCCAAAACCCGAUGAAGCAGCUGAUGAUUAUUGAUGUGAUUGCAUCACCCGGUUACAUAGAAGCAGCUGGUGCUGUAUCGAAAUCAGAUACCACGAGCAGAUGCCGAUGGACGAGAUGCUGCCACCAUCGGCCAUAAAGAACCUGGGGAAAAUCAAUUUUAUUUCCGGCAAUCCGUUCGCACCUACAUUGGAUGUGAUAAUUUCAGGGCAAUCACGUUGCCUCCCAUUGUUGGAUAACAAAUCCCACGGACGUGCUUCAGCUUGGCACGAACCGGGUUUGGGAUUAUAUUGGCGACAACUAUUUGCUGCAGAACAAAUCUAACGGCAAGCUGCCCCCGACAAUCACCCGGCCAUCUUCUGUCUGGCAGAGGAAAUCACGCAAUUCAAAAUAAUCAACAGUUUGGAAAAAGUAGUACAAGCACACGUAGAAAGGAGUAGCACACGUGAUUGCCGGUUCGGGGCUUCAGAGUGUGGAAUCAAUGGGACGGUAGUGAUUCCGGUGGACUCAGUGACCAGCGACGGAUUUGCCGCCAGUAUUAGCGCUAGGAGAUGGAUAGUUUAACGAACCCAAUGGAGGAAACCCCGUACCACGAUUUUAACUUUUUUUAACUGCGCUCCGAAAUAUAGUAAUAAAUUGGAUAAACCUUCGUACUUUA